RNAcentral lists this long non-coding RNA (379 nucleotides) under Mytilus galloprovincialis (Mediterranean mussel). Lineage: Eukaryota; Metazoa; Mollusca; Bivalvia; Mytilida; Mytilidae. The record is from RNAcentral.
GGCAUAUUGUCAUAUCUAUAAUACUAAAAUUACGAGGUCCAAUUUGUCGGCCGUCAUCACGUAAAAACGAUGAAUCAAAGAAUUCAACUUUAUAUAUAACUAAUAUAGUACAAUGGUGUUGAUUAAAAAUUACACCACUCUAGGGCCGUUUGUUUUCCACGUAAUUAAUAUUGCCAAUAAUUAAGAAGUUCCGGAUCGAGUCCGACACCGAUACCAAUAGUAUAUUCACCUGUUACCUAUUACCUUAUCUGUACGUUCCGCAUCUGACAGGCGCACCAACAAACAGUGUAUUUAGAAUUUUGCUGUAUACUGUUGAGUAAAAAAUACUCCAUUCCAGGUCCUUUUGUUUUCCAAAUUAUUAAUAUUACCAAUAAUUGAU